RNAcentral lists this ribosomal RNA (368 nucleotides) under uncultured Actinomycetales bacterium. Its description in RNAcentral is "bacterial SSU rRNA". It matches the Rfam family "Bacterial small subunit ribosomal RNA", at positions 304 to 651 of the family's 1533-position model. The record is from RNAcentral. Lineage: Bacteria; Bacillati; Actinomycetota; Actinomycetes; Actinomycetales.
GCCACCACUGUGAGACUUGAGACCACGGGCCCAAAAUCCCUAACGGGAAGGCAGCACGUGGGGGAAUAUUUUGCGCAAAUGUGCGAAAGCCCUUAACGCAGCAACGCCGCGUGCGGGAUGAAGGCUAUCGGGUUGUAAACCGCUUUCACCCGGGAAAGAAACGACAAGUGCACGGUACCUUGCAGAAAGAAGACACCGGGUUAAACUAACCGUUCCCAACAAGCGGGUGGGAAUAACCUACAGGUGCAAACCUUGUCCGGCAAUUAUUGGGCGUCAAGAACUUCGUAUGCGGUUAGUCCCGUCGGCAUUGUUGAAUCCCCCUGCGUUAAACUGGGGCUGCAUACGAAAACGGGCUGAAUAAAAUGUUG